AUAUUAGUAGGCGUUGGAAAUGAUACAAAUCUGUAACCUCCGAGUAGUGGCGAAUGAAAUGAGGUUAGUUCUACCUGAAUCUGGCAAAAGCUAGAGUUGUAGGCUUGUUAACUGCUUAGACGGUUGUUUGGGUUAAGUACUGUUUGAUAACUUCGCUAGAAAAGGUGUUAGGCCUGUGAAUCCAUUCAAUUUUCGAAAGCUGGUAGCAUUAGAAUAUGUUUGAUUAAUACUUCAGACUCAAAAUAGGAUGAAUUUCCUAUGUGACUAAGUAUGAGCGAGAGACCGAUAGCGCACAAGUA
This 299-nucleotide ribosomal RNA is filed under the name uncultured eukaryote. Its description in RNAcentral is "partial large subunit ribosomal RNA". It matches the Rfam family "Eukaryotic large subunit ribosomal RNA", at positions 40 to 350 of the family's 3401-position model. The record is from RNAcentral.